AGGCGAGUAAAAUUAGAGUUCAAAAAAGGUGAGUUUUGAAAUCAGUCCCAAAAUUGAGCAUCAGUCAAAGAAGGAACCUCAGCAUAUAAAUAGAAUGCACAAACAAAAGAUAUCUGAGGCCAAGCUAUUGGCAAAAGAAACAACAUGCAAUAGUAGUACAAAGUCAGUAUAUAGAAAAUAUUCAAAGCAUGAUGGUCAAGUA
This 202-nucleotide long non-coding RNA is filed under the name Nicotiana benthamiana. RNAcentral's name for it is "long non-coding RNA (NBEN_LNC019916)". The record is from RNAcentral. Lineage: Eukaryota; Viridiplantae; Streptophyta; Magnoliopsida; Solanales; Solanaceae.